This 160-nucleotide unclassified non-coding RNA is filed under the name uncultured Tolypocladium. Its description in RNAcentral is "sequence contains ITS1". Lineage: Eukaryota; Fungi; Ascomycota; Sordariomycetes; Hypocreales; Clavicipitaceae. The record is from RNAcentral.
CCGAGUUAUCAACUCCCAAACCCCCCUGCGAACAUACCCGAACGUUGCCUCGGCGGGACCGCCCCGGCGCCCACCGCGGCCCGGAACCAGGCGCCCGCCGGAGGACCCAAACUCUUGCUUUCAGUGGUAUCCUCUGAGUCCCACAAACAAAAAUGAAUCA